UUCCCUCUUGGUCAACUCAUUUUCCCCUUUUUUUCCCCUUUCCCGGACGACAUCAUAUUGAUCGGCAUGGAACUUUCAAUAGCAGGAAGGCUCCUUCAGAUAUCUGCAAGAGUUGAUGGAGAAUCAAUGGGAGAGGCUGGUUUGUGAAUUAAUCAACGCCAUAACCAUUGGCACACGUCUGUGAAAGGCAAGGGUACUACAUGUUCCUACGGGAGGUUUCAUGCCUACCAUAUCGAAAGAGCAUAAGUAGUGACCUGAGAGGAGAGGGAAUAGGGGGAGAGAUUGUUGAUUGUUCAUUCUGGAGAGGAGAGGUUGCCCUUUUAGUCAGCACAGAUACCAUUGAUUCGAACCAAGUCUCUUGUUCCUGCAUUCCUUUAAUCUGCAAAUUUAUAACACUAGGGACCCAUAUCUACUAGAGACUAGAAAGAAGGAAUGAUGGGUGUAUCCCCGACUAACGAAAUGGUGCAGGACGUUUUCUGACCAAUGCGGGAGCACCCGGACUGAACUAGGAGUAGCAGCAAAGAUAAAAGGCAGGUGGGGGCAGGCUCCCAUCUAUGGAUAUCAGCCGAGUCCACCUAUACUUUACCAAUGAUCAUGAGUUAUUAUCAGGUGUCAGUUGCAGGAUUUUUGUUACUAGAUUGAUUAAUCCCAUUUCCACUGCUUUCAUCUUGCUUUUCUGCUUGUUGGUCCUAGAGUUUCCUUAGGGAGCGACUACUUUACCUCCCACCCAUCCCCUUCAUAUUGGGUUGGGUGGGAUGAGAAGAACCCGUAGGGGUUCUAUAGCGGUAGCAGGUGGUUGUGACCAAGGCUCAAAAGAUUAUUAUCUCAUUUGCCUUUGGAGGUUUACAAUAAGGAUCUUUGGGAAGAAAUUCAAAUGCCCUAUUUUAGAAUAAAUAAUGCAUUUUAUCUUGUCUGUUUGUGGUGUUUAUAGUUGAGGCGCUCAAAGUAAUUGCCAACAAACUGAAGGUUUUGAGUUGGAACUUCAAUUUGGAUCCCUACAAUAAUGAUGAUACAAAAAGGCAUCAUCUUGACGACAUAGCUGGGUCACGUGGGGUCAUAUGCAGCUAUUCUUUUUAGUAAAACAUACCACUUGCCAUGUUAAGCUAAUAAUGAUAUGUCUAGAACAGCAAGGGAUUGUGCACCCUGAAUUGGCUAAUAUUACACACUUGCUUAGCCUGAAUUUUAGUACGAAUUGUUGUUUUGGAACACUACCACUAGAGCUAAGGAAGUUGGCAAAUUUGGAUUAACUGAAGAAUGUGAACAGUUGGAGAAUCGAGUUAACGAUUUAGCACAAAAGCCUCAAGGAAGCCCUAAAAUUUUUGCAGCGGUACACGUCUUUUGGAUUUUGAUAAUCCAUAUGGUCACCCGCCUAUAUUUGAGGUUGUGAACAACAUUGGAAUUGAUAGAUCUAAAUAGCUUGCUCCUUUGCUUGUGUAUGCGGCACUGGAAAAGAGAACCACCAAAAUCCUCUGCGAUCUUAAUGAGAAGUUUCGUCAGUAUCACCCUCCCGUCACUAAAAUUCUCUACGGUGUCAACAGCAAAUUCAAUGUGUUUUUCCGUUUUUGCAAAAAAGAUGUGAGAAAAACUUUUGUCGACUACCUAUACGAAUCUCUCUCUGGAGUGGGGAUUAGGGUUUUCCUCGAUAGGGAUUAAUUGGGGAAGGGCAAAGACAUAGAUUCCUGCCUGCAAGCAGCCAUUGAAACAAGUUAUAUUUUCAUAGCGCUAUGCAGAAUCAACUUCUUGUCUGAAGGAGGCGUCCCAGAUGUGUAGAUCUAGUGGCUUCAUCAUUCCCCUGUUUUAUGAUGUGGAACCCUGUGAUGUUCACUACCCUCAAAGAGAGGGAGGUCCAUUUGCAGAGGCAUUCAAAAAACAUAACAGCGAUUUAGAUCAGCAGGAUGAGAAUACAAUCAAGGAAUGGAAGAAUAGUCUUCAUCAAAUCUCUUCUCUUUCUGGUUGGACAAGGGUAGAAGAAUUUGGAUAUAUUUGAAGGCAUAAAUGAGUAUAUCGAUGAUGCUGAAAUGAUGAAUGAAAUGACUACUAGGAGCUGUUGUGAACUGAAACAUUGGCCUGUUCACAUUGAGGAUAAGAAUCAAACCAUGUAGGUGCCAAUUCACAAACAUAAAUGUAUCAUUCAAAAUUUAUGUACAUUCUCUUUGUGUUGCUAGAGCCAGAUAGAUAUUGUAAGGUUUUGUCUAAUAAACAUGCAAUUGUUUUAUUUUCAAGGCAACAAAAAGAUGUUCAAUACAAAAACACAAAAUCGCUGACAAUGGUCACAUGUUCUCAACCAUUAUUCAGACUUAAAACUUACUACUAAACCAAAGGGUGUUUUGAGACCCAAGAUUCUAAAGGGUACAAUUAUUCUUAAAGGGUGCUAGCUCAAUGGAAGAGUACCUGUUUUACAAGCAGGAGGAUGGUGGUUCAAUUCCAUCACGCCCUAACAUGAAUUAAUCAAUGAUUGUAGUUUACAUUUAACAAUAGUGAUUUAUCUGAAUAGUGAGCUAUUUUUCAAAA
RNA transcript from Cryptomeria japonica (Japanese cedar), 2511 nucleotides. RefSeq lists it as uncharacterized. NCBI's taxonomy places the organism in Eukaryota, Viridiplantae, Streptophyta, Pinopsida, Cupressales, Cupressaceae. The record is from RefSeq and is a predicted model, not a curated record. The transcript is spliced from 8 exons.